This 1025-nucleotide ribosomal RNA is filed under the name Isoptericola variabilis. RNAcentral's name for it is "bacterial SSU rRNA". It matches the Rfam family "Bacterial small subunit ribosomal RNA", at positions 49 to 1089 of the family's 1533-position model. Lineage: Bacteria; Bacillati; Actinomycetota; Actinomycetes; Micrococcales; Promicromonosporaceae. The record is from RNAcentral.
UUACACAUGCAAGUCGAACGGUGAAGCCCAGCUUGCUGGGUGGUCAUUGGCGAACGGGUGAGUAACACGUGAGCAACCUGCCCUCCACUUCGGGAUAAGCCUUGGAAACGGGGUCUAAUACCGGAUAUGAUCACUCAUCGCAUGGUGGGUGUUGGAAAGUUUUUCGGUGGGGGAUGGGCUCGCGGCCUAUCAGCUUGUUGGUGGGGUGAUGGCCUACCAAGGCGUCGACGGGUAGCCGGCCUGAUAGGGCGACCGGCCACACUGGGACUGACACACGGCCCACACUCCUACGGGAGGCAGCAGUGGGGAAUAUUGCACAAUGGGCGCAAGCCUGAUGCAGCGACGCCGCGUGAGGGAUGACGGCCUUCCGGUUGUAAACCUCUUUCAUCAGGGAAGAAGCGCAAGUGACGGUACCUGCAAAAGAAGCGCCGGCUAACUACGUGCCAGCAGCCGCGGUAAUACGUAGGGCGCAAGCGUUGUCCGGAAUUAUUGGGCGUAAAGAGCUCGUAGGCGGUCUGUCGCGUCUGGUGUGAAAUCCCGAGGCUCAACCUCGGGCUUGCAUCGGGUACGGGCAGACUAAAGUGCGGUAGGGGAGACUGGAAUUCCUGGUGUAGCGGUGGAAUGAACAGAUAUCAGGAGGAACACCGAUGGCGAAGGCAGGUCUCUGGCCCGCAACUGACGCUGACGAGCGAAAGCAUGCUGAGCGAACAGGAUUAGAUACCCUGGUAGUCCAUGCCGUAAACGUUGGGCACUACGUGUGCGGCUCAUUCCACGAGUUCCGUGUCGCAGCUAACGCAUUAAGUGCCCCGCCUGGCGAGUACGGCCGCAAGGCUGAAACUCACAGGAAUUGACGGGGGCCCGCACUAACGGCGGAGCAUGCCGAUUAAUUCGAUGCACGCGAAGAACCUUACCAGGGCUUGACAUGCACCGGAAACACUCAGAGAUGGGUGCCCCGUUACGGUCGUGCACAGGUGCGUCAUGGAUGUCGUCAGCUCGUUGUCGUGAAGAUGUUGGGCUAAGUCCGU